UACGUAGGUGGCAAGCGUUGUCCGGAAUUAUUGGGCCUAAAGCAUCCGUAGCCGGUUCUACAAGUCUUCCGUUAAAUCCACCUGCUUAACAGAUGGGCUGCGGAGGAUACUAUGGAGCUAGGAGGCGGGAGAGGCAAGCGGUACUUAGUGGGUAGGGGUAAAAUCCGUUGAUCCAUUGAAGACCACCAGUGGCGAAGGCGGCUUGCCAGAACGCACUCGACGGUGAGGGAUGAAAGCUGGGGGAGCAAACCGG
This 253-nucleotide ribosomal RNA is filed under the name uncultured bacterium. Its description in RNAcentral is "partial 16S ribosomal RNA". It matches the Rfam family "Bacterial small subunit ribosomal RNA", at positions 524 to 776 of the family's 1533-position model. The record is from RNAcentral.